RNAcentral lists this ribosomal RNA (467 nucleotides) under uncultured bacterium. RNAcentral's name for it is "partial 16S ribosomal RNA". It matches the Rfam family "Bacterial small subunit ribosomal RNA", at positions 28 to 507 of the family's 1533-position model. The record is from RNAcentral.
GACGAACGCUGGCGGCGUGCUUAACACAUGCAAGUCGAACGGAAAGGCUCCAGCUUGCUGGAGUACUCGAGUGGCGAACGGGUGAGUAACACGUGGGUAAUCUGCCCUGCACUCUGGGAUAGGCCUGGGAAACUGGGUCUAAUACUGGAUAUGACCUUUCUCCUUAUGGGGUUUGGUGGAAAGUUUUUCGGUGUAGGAUGAGCCCGCGGCCUAUCAGCUUGUUGGUGGGGUGAUGGCCUACCAAGGCGACGACGGGUAGCCGGCCUGAGAGGGUGAUCGGCCACAUUGGGACUGAGAUACGGCCCAGACUCCUACGGGAGGCAGCAGUGGGGAAUAUUGCACAAUGGGCGGAAGCCUGAUGCAGCGACGCCGCGUGAGGGAUGACGGCCUUCGGGUUGUAAACCUCUUUCAGCAGGAACGAAGCGUAAGUGACGGUACCUGCAGAAGAAGCACCGGCUAACUAUGUG